AGAGUAAACAAGCAAGCAGCGCUCUUCACUUCUCUCCAAAGAGCUGCUAAUUAUAGGUUGUCUCCUGUGGGACUGGGUAACAGAGGAUCCUCAUUCCUUCUUUGCCGAAGUUUACAAUGGUGAUAGAGAGCAGAUCUGCACAUGAAGAAACUUGAAGUCCACCCAAAAACAGUUCAUCCUGUUGACCGUAUUGGAUCUGUAAGGUCUCCUUCCCCUUUUUUACUGCAUGGUUCCUCUGCAAAGUCAUCUAGGCAGGGAUGCAUGGGAAAUGCCUGGUGACAGAUCCACCAAGGACGAAUUUCAAAAAUAGGUACGUCUCCCCCAGGCUGCAGAGCUUUUGGACGCAGUCCAGACCUGCAUGACAACCGAAAGCGACAGUCAGCUCUCCAACACAGGUGACAACACAGGAGAAACUGACAGGACCUGAUUGCAUUUGGAUAGACUCAUUUGGGAUCUUAUUAGAGUGAAGCUUGAUGAAAAUCAGGAAAUCUAAUGACAUUACGACCCAAACGUUUGACUGUGUCUGAGUCAUCAGUCAUCUCUACUCCUAAAACCCUGUCUCUGGAAAUAUACAAUUGAAGCUUAAACUGAUACAGCUUGUCAAAAUGUAUCAUUAUCAUAACAACCUAAAAUGCACAAUGAGUACCCAAAGACCCGCUAGUGUUUCCCUUUAGAGAAGUUGCUUUGGGCAGUAGAAGUGUCAUAUUCUCCUGUCUGUGAGAAGCAGUAAUGAACUAGAUUUGCAUUUCCUGCAGGAAAUACCUCGGCUUGCAUGGCAGCAAUAGAAUAGUAUUCUGCUAACCAUAAGCCUUUAGUUGUUCAUAAAUGAAAUGCUGUUUUAGAUUUUGCUGUUGUCGUGAUGCUUAUUGUGCGUCUCGUUUAUAAUUCACCCCUUUAAAGAAAAGGAAUCAAUGCAUUUGCUGCAGGCAGCAUAAAGGUGACAUAUUUUAAAAACCAGGAAAUAUACGCAAGCUCAUUGGAAAUAUGUACUUCUGCCUACAUUUCUGCAAAACCUGAAAUACUUUGCUCCAUAUCACUGCAUUUUUCGUUUGGAGUGUCUACUAGAGCCAAUGGAGGUGCUUGUUUUUCAUCAUUUUGAUGCAGGUUUAUUAAAGGUUAAAAAGCCAGACAGCAGACGACUUCAGGCCGGAUCUGGAACAGAUCUGCUCCAGAGCUGCAACAGAUCCGGCCCGGAACUGCUGACUUUGUUGUGGAUCUGAGAUCCCGGAGUCACCUGGGAAUAUUUAACAUUAGUGGGGUAUAUUCUUCAGUUAAUGCUUGUGUGCUUGUUGUGGAUAAACGUCUGAUGUCUUUAAUGUAAGGA
This is a non-coding RNA of Misgurnus anguillicaudatus (oriental weatherfish), 1324 nucleotides long. The record is from RefSeq and is a predicted model, not a curated record. NCBI's taxonomy places the organism in Eukaryota, Metazoa, Chordata, Actinopteri, Cypriniformes, Cobitidae.